Molecule: long non-coding RNA, 4304 nt
Filed under: Sus scrofa (pig)
Lineage: Eukaryota; Metazoa; Chordata; Mammalia; Artiodactyla; Suidae
Description: lncRNA (ENSSSCG00035050870.1)
Source: RNAcentral
AGGUAAAUUUGUACAAUGGCUAUGGACCACAGGAUCUGGAUGAUAUGAAAAAUAAACACGGAAUGACCAUAUGACCCAGCAAUCCCACUCUUGGACAUAUAUCCAGAAAAUGUUCUUUGCAAAAAGUUAAAUGCCCCACUAUGUUCUUGCAGCACUAAUCACAAUAGCAACAUAUGCAAACAUAUUCUAUGGCCAUGGACAGAUGAUUGGAUUAGGAAGAGGAUGUCCAUAUGCACAAUAGAAUAGUACUCAGCCAUAAAUAACCAAAAAAAAAAAAAAAAGCCAUUGGCAGCAAAAUAGGUGGUAAGAAAACAUCUCAUACUAAAUGAAAUACAUCUGAAAGAGAAAGAAAAAUACCAUGGGAAUCACCUUCCCUCUGGAAACUUACACAUGACACCAAUGAUCCUUGCUACAGGAAAGAAACUCACAGACUGGAAAACAGUUUUUUGGUUGCAGGAUUGGAGGGGGAAAUGACUAGGAUUUGGAGGAUAAAAUCCAAGCUUUUGCACUUGGAAUGAUUAAGCAUAGAUAUCCUGCUGUUUAGCACAGAGAACUAUAAUUACCAUUUUUGGAACCAAAUGGAGGAUACUGUGAGAAAAGGAAUAUGGGUAUACAUGUAUGAUUGGAUGACUUUGUUAUUCAAGUAAAAUGGGAUGCCAUAAAAUAGUGAUAAUAGAAAAUAAUAAAUGAUAACCUGACAAAAUUACAGGCUCAGCGUUCACCAGAGAAGGUAUGAGGGUCGAGACUGCUGCCUCUAGGGAAAAUAGAUAGGCACACUGAUUCAGCUCAACCUGUCAAUAUUUCCUAGCAUGGUGACAUUGGCCCAGACCUAAUUACCCAGGGUGUAUGAAUGUAUUUCUGUAAAAACAUUGUUAUAUAUAUAUAUUCUGAAUUCCCUAUUUUCCUGCACCCUUGUGGGCAUGCAGAUACACCCUCCUCUAGAAAUGAAUCCACUCCUAUACUGUACAUCCUCAGGCUACCAUUUAAAAACUCUUCUACCAGAGAUAUUUGUUCAGGAGAGACUUUAGGAUUGCUUUAUCUAUCCAUUCCCUUAGAUAUUUUGUAGGACUAUGUGUGUGAAUAUAUAUGUAUGUGUAUGUAUUCAUUGAUUACUUUAUUAAACUCAUUCUUUUCAAUAUGUUUUUAUUUAUCAAUUUAUUUGGGUGCCCCCUGUGACAUUGAGAUGUUGUCUGGCCAGAGCUUGAUCUCCCAAUGCAAUUGUUGCCACAGCCACAGCAGUGACAAGGAGAGACUCUUAAGCCUGGCAGCCACUUGGGAACUCCUUGAGAGCUUGCCUUCCUUGAUGAGACCAAUCGACCCUGCUUAAUGCAUCAAACUUGGUUUCAGUCAGGCCUCCAGACCCUGGCACCUACUGAAAAUUGGGGCUCAUCUCCCAAGGCAAGAAAGAUUUUUCUCCAAGCCUCUUGAGCAAAAGAAGCAUGUGGAUUGGCACAACUGCCCAAACUAAUGCCAUCUAAGUCCCCCAUUUAAUCAUAAGCACCACCCUCUUUCUCCAUCUAUGUAAAACCCUGAGGGUCAGGGGCUUGAAAAUGGCCAGCUCAUGAUACCACACCAGUGCUGUAUGAGUCUUGGCCCCAGGCUCUGGAGGAACUCAAGGCAUGCUGAAACCCAGUGAAUGCUUGAAGUAUUCUAAACCCUCUGCCACCCAACCAGGUUGCCAAUCCACCUCCAAAUGCUGAAGGGACAUUUUGCCCUCUGCCUGACAUGAGGCAUCUUGGAGCAGAGGCUAACUGGUGCCCAGGAAACAACUGAAAAUUCUCUGUGUGCUUGCUGUGUGUUCCCUUAAAGAUACCAUCAGCCCCAACCCUGAACCUGCACAUUUCAAGCUAUGGAGCUCUCACCUAUUAGACUUGGAGCUGCACUUGGGGCCAGAAGAUACACUGGUGCCCUCCUGUGGACAUCUGAUCUAAUAGCCACACAACAGGUUUAACUCCUCCAUCUGGCUCAGCAGUCCCCUGGGUGGCAUUGGCCUUAGGCGAUAUGAGGGAUGGGUCUCCUUCCCCCACUUUCAUGAAAUACCAAGAAGUGCCCUUGCAAGUGAGCUGCUUCUCUCUCAAAGGCUUCCAGAGCCCUGAGGCCAACCUCUGCCAUGCUUCACUGUGUAUACCCUUAGCUCCUGACCCAUCUAGUCAUGCCAGCCUUCUUCCUGUUUUAUGCAUCCCAGCAACUAUGUAUUUAUGAAGAUAGGUGUGUAGAUAUGUAAUGAUUGAUUUUUUUCUUAAUUUUUCACGUGUGAUUCCUUCCUUCGUACAGUAAAGUCUGUCCUCGUUUCUUCUUUCUUUUUUUCUCUUUCUCUCUACUACUUUCUUUCUAAAUUUAUUGACCCCCACCUAGAGCAGGCAUAAGUUGUCUGCCCAUUGAUGUUUUUCAUGGCAGUGUUUAUCAAACCCACCAUGGCAACAAAAACUGAACUUUUACCCAGAGUGCCUGAAAGGAUCUCAGUGAGAGCUUUCAUUAUAUCAAUCAGUCCACUGGCCUUAAAUGCCCAACCUGGCUUUAGGUAACAUCUUCACACCAGGUGCAUAGAAAGAUGAGAAGAGGCUCUCACAGGAAAAAAAAGGAUGGACUUCCCUGAAACCUCUUGAGACACACUGCCCAGAGAUUGGCACAGCUGCUCUACAAUAUAUCACUGUUUUUGCACGUCAUGCAAAACUCACAGGCACUUUAUGCUGAUCCCAAAACCCAGGUCAGGCUGGGCUUCCAGAAUUCACAGCUGAACCACUGAUACCAAGCAACAGCAAAACAAAACCCAUAACCCAAUUGAAAAAUGGGGAGAAGACCUGAAUACACCUUUCCCUAAACCAGAUAUAGAGAUGGCAUCAAGCACCAGGAAAAUGAACUCCAUCACUCAUUAAUAAAGAUAUGCAAAUCAAAGCAAAGCUGAGGUUCCGCCUCAGCCCUCUCCAAAUGGCCAUUAUCAGCAUGUCUUCAAAUAACAAACCCUGGACAGGGUGUGGAAAAGAAGGUGCCCUCCUACACUGUGGGUGUGUAGGGAAAUUUGUACAACUACUCUAGACCACAGGAUCUAGGUUAUCUGAGAAAGAACAACUGUAUGACCCAGCCAUCCCACUCUUGGGCAUAUACCCAGAAAAUGUACUUUUCAAAAGGUUACAUGCCCUACUAUGUUCAUUCCACACUAGUCACAAUAGCAAGACAGGGAAACACAUCCUAGAUCCAUGGACAGAUGAUGGGAAUAGGAAGAAGAUGUCCAUAUACACAACAGAAGAGUACUCAGCCAUAAAAAGAGCAAAAAUGCCAUUGGCAGCCACAUGGAAAUAAAAACUUUCAUACUAAUCAAAAUAUGUCUGAAAGAGAGACACAAAUACCAUGUGUAACAACUUCCCUCUGGAUUCUUACAAAUGACACAAACCUUUCUACAGGAAAGAAACUCAUGGACUGGAAUACAGAUUUUUGGUUGCCAGAUUGGAGGGGGAGGGUGUGGGAAGGAGUGGAUUUUGGAGGGUAAUUGAUCCAAACACUUGCCCUUGGAGUGGCUGAGCAUAGACAUCCUGCUGUUUAGCCCAGGAACUAUAUCUGGUCACUAUUUUUGGAAUCAAAUGGAGGAUAAUGUGAGAAAAAGACUAUGGGUAUAUAUGUACCAAUGGAUCACUUUGUUGUUAAAGUGAAAUUUAGCCCUAUAAAUAUGCAAAAAUAAAAAAUGAGAAAUGAUAAAUAACCGGACAAAAUUAGUGGCUCAGUGUUCACCAGAGAAGGUGUCAGGGUCGAGACUGCUGACCCUUGGGAAAAGAGACGGGCACGCUGACUCCAUUUAACCUGUCAAAAUUUCCUAGCCUAGCGACAUCAGAGCAGACCUAAUUACCUAGCGAGUAUGAGUUUAUUACUAUAAAUUUUUUAAAUUUAUUUUUUUCCUAGGUAUUUUCCUGCACCCGUGUGUGGCAUGCAGAUACACUCUGCCCUGGAAAUGAAUCCACCCCUAUGCUGGACAUCCCAAGGCUCGCACUAAAAACCCAGUGGCACCCAAGUAUUGGGUAAGGAGACCCUUUAAGAUUGCUUUAUCUAGGAGUUCCCGUCAUGGUGCAGUGGUUAACAAAUCCAACUAGGAACCAUGAGAUUGUGGGUUUGAUCCCUGGCCUUGCUCAGUGGGUUAAGGACCCGGUGUUGCUGUGAGCUGUGGUGUAGGUCACAGACGCGGCUCAAAUCCCACAUUGCUGUGGCUCUGGCUUAGGCCGGCAUCUACAGCUCCAAUUAGACCCCUAGCCUGGGGACCUCCAUAUGCCACUGGAAGUGGCCCUAGAAAAGGAAAAAAGACAAAAAAAAAAAAA